AACGAACGCUGGCGGCAUGCCUAACACAUGCAAGUCGAACGAGACCUUCGGGUCUAGUGGCGCACGGGUGCGUAACGCGUGGGAAUCUGCCCUUAGGUUCGGAAUAACUUCGGGAAACUGAAGCUAAUACCGGAUGAUGACGUAAGUCCAAAGAUUUAUCGCCUAAGGAUGAGCCCGCGUUGGAUUAGCUAGUUGGUGAGGUAAAGGCUCACCAAGGCGACGAUCCAUAGCUGGUCUGAGAGGAUGAUCAGCCACACUGGGACUGAGACACGGCCCAGACUCCUACGGGAGGCAGCAGUGGGGGAAUAUUGGGACAAUGGGCGAAAGCCUGAUCCAGCAAUGCCGCGUGAGUGAUGAAGGCCUUAGGGUUGUAAAGCUCUUUUACCCGAGAUGAUAAUGACAGUAUCGGGAGAAUAAGCUCCGGCUAACUCCGUGCCAGCAGCCGCGGU
RNAcentral lists this ribosomal RNA (449 nucleotides) under uncultured bacterium. RNAcentral describes it as "bacterial SSU rRNA". It matches the Rfam family "Bacterial small subunit ribosomal RNA", at positions 29 to 521 of the family's 1533-position model. The record is from RNAcentral.